UACCAGAAAGAAAUUGAGAUA
Molecule: non-coding RNA, 21 nt
Filed under: Rattus norvegicus (Norway rat)
Lineage: Eukaryota; Metazoa; Chordata; Mammalia; Rodentia; Muridae
Source: RNAcentral